AUAGCAGAGACCCCUGAAUCGACAGAAUUUCAGAGGCUAUUGCGAUUCGGUAAAGGAAGGGUGGGAGACAUCUGGGCGCUCGGGGGUCACAUUAGCGCAGAAUUUGGAACGGUGUGUGCACUUUCAUGGUCGUUUACAUUUAAUUUCCUUAAAUUUAAAUUUCUCUCUUCCAUUUGGAUUCAUUUUUCUAUUGAUAACGGCUAUAGCCUCACGCGCGUGCGUCCAGUUUCAAUAAUCUUAUUGCGCAAACCCGAUGACACAUUUGGGUUUAUUCCAUCUAUAUACGCUGAUCAGCCAGGAGUUAUGAAUUUCUAUUUUGCAGUAUUUGCCUUCAUGGCACCGUGCAUUUUUGUUAUAGUAACAGUAGGGGUAUCAUGUAUAAUUCAUCGAAGGAGGCAGAGUCGACUUUGAAAACGCUCACUUCUAUGAUGGACGCUCUGGUUCGUAUUAGUGAUCACCAUCAGUCACAGACACCAGAGCACAACCCACACCUCUGGAAGCCUCCCUGGGAGCUCUCAUCAUGACAAACCACAAGCACGCUGGCAGUGAAGAUGCCAAGACCCUCAUUAAGAAAGAGCUAACCAACCUCAUCAAGGCUAAGCCGCCAAACAUUGCUGGGAAGGGUGGUCCUGAAGUGGGGCACCUGAUGACAAUGCUGGACCAGGACGCUGACGGCUCCAUGAACUUCAAGAAGUACAUCACCUUGAUUGGAUCCCUUACAUGUGCAACUGUGCCCUAGCGGGAAAAUGCCAGCUUCCAUCUGCUUUGUGCAGUGUAUUACAUUACACUUUUGCAGCCCAGUACAUCAUUGGAAAUG
Oncorhynchus tshawytscha (Chinook salmon) is the source of this 817-nucleotide long non-coding RNA. RefSeq lists it as uncharacterized. The transcript is spliced from 3 exons. The record is from RefSeq and is a predicted model, not a curated record. NCBI's taxonomy places the organism in Eukaryota, Metazoa, Chordata, Actinopteri, Salmoniformes, Salmonidae.